RNAcentral lists this small nuclear RNA (104 nucleotides) under Xenopus tropicalis (tropical clawed frog). Its description in RNAcentral is "U2 spliceosomal RNA (ENSXETG00000029614.3)". It matches the Rfam family "U2 spliceosomal RNA". Rfam says of the family: U2 is a small nuclear RNA (snRNA) component of the spliceosome (involved in pre-mRNA splicing). The record is from Rfam by way of RNAcentral. Lineage: Eukaryota; Metazoa; Chordata; Amphibia; Anura; Pipidae.
CUCACUUCUCUGCCUUUUGGCUAAGAUCAAGUGUAGUAUCUGUUCUUGGCAUGGGGGGGGGGGGGUGUACAUCCUAGCUAAGGGAUGUAUGAUCAGCACCUUCC